Non-coding RNA from Ictidomys tridecemlineatus (thirteen-lined ground squirrel), 4803 nucleotides. The record is from RefSeq and is a predicted model, not a curated record. NCBI's taxonomy places the organism in Eukaryota, Metazoa, Chordata, Mammalia, Rodentia, Sciuridae.
UGUCUUGAGAACAGGAACACUGAGAAGGGCUGCUCCUUGACAGGUACACUUGUGCAAAUUCUCUGUGCACAUGCACGUGCAGGAUGAGGACAGCUAGCUGUCAGUGUGUGCCUGACCUCCCACAGCCGUCAUUCCGUGAUGAGAACACUCAAAACCACUCUCUGUCCGAUGUUCAAGAACAUGACAUGUCAUGGUUAACUGUAGUCACCAUGUGACGCGCAGCGGAUCUCCUGGACUCAUUCUUCCAAUCUAACCAGAAAGAGAAGGAGAUCCUGCCAUGACUGAGCCUGGAGGGCAUUCUGCUGAGUAAAACAUCCAGCAUGGGAGCCAGGGAGCAGAACAGUGGCUCCCAGGGACAGGGGCGGCAGCCCUGAGGUGGAGAGAGGCUGGCACGUGAAUUUUUCAAGUUGACAUCAUCUCUUGAAUUCGUGGAAUAUCAGAUAUGGGAGUUCUUUACUGAUUAAAGCUUUGACAUGUAGAUUCUCUUAAGGACAUUUGUCCCUGAAUGCAUUUCGGAUUUCACCAGCCAAUCGCAUGUGUUCCUCCAGCCUCUGCCUCCCUGCAGUUCCGGUUCCGGUUCCCAGCAGAGCUGAUCUUGAAUCUCCUGCUGCAAAGGGAAUCUGCUUCCUACCUCCCGGGCACAGAUCAUCUGCAGGAACAUAGAGAUGUGUGUGGCCUCCUAACAUCUACUUCCAGUUGCAACCAGAUGGCCAUCUUAUUUUGAGGAGAUGAUGGGGAUGGACUUGCCCAGAGCCAAUUGAUCCAGUCAUCAAACAUAUUUGUCACUUGUUUGUUAGAGAGGCUGCCUCCGACCCCAGUCACCUCUGUGCUCAAGCAAGACGAAAAGACUCUGAGUAUCUCUUCAGCGUUUCUCACACGUCUCCUUGGAAGACAGAGAGCCUGCUUGUUCCUGGAAUCCCAUUUCCCUUCCUGCCCCUUCAGCUGUCGCCUCCCGACCCCUGCAUUGUGUCGCAUCUCAAAACAAAGAAACAUCUACAUUUAUCGGUGAGACUCAUAUGUUUCUAUUUUAACUGAAAGUAAGACAGAUGCAUAAAAUUUAACAACAUGAUGCAGUGAAGAGAGAAUAUAAUAGUGCCAACACAUACUGAUAAGAGUUGAGCAAAGCUAAGAAUAUAAGCAUUUGGGACAAAACUAAUAUGAAUUUAUGUCUACCAGGCUGUUUCAUGAUUAGAAAUGGGAUAUUGCUCACCUUGAACUUCUGCCAUUGGUAGAGAAGACUGGAAUAGUUUGAGAGAAAAUUAUAUCAUCCUGGGUUCAAAUUGCCACAGAAUAAAUUGUCUUUGGAUGGAUUCAGUCCUCAUCCUCGUUCUGAAACUGUGAUGGACAGCAGGGAUUUGUCGGUGUUCAAGCAACGCACUCUCUCUGACUUUCAAGUGUGUCAUGUUUCUCUAUAUGGCUUGGAAAUACUAACUCUUGUGUGUUUUUGCUGUUUCUGCAUUUUUUUAAACAAACCAGCACAUCUUAUUUGUAAAUAAAACUGUGUUAUCACAGAUCUAUUUAGUUAUUCUUUUCUGUCUCUGAUAUUCGAAUCAGAGACGGGAGGAGAAACCACAGCCCUAUAGCUUCUGGCUGAAAUUUCUAUUAAAAUGGAAUGAGAUUAAGCCCACAUUGAAUUUGUAUUUAGAUAACCUUGUCACUUUUCAUUACCUAAUUCUAAACAGUUAUGAAUAAGUGAGAGCCCCAGUGCUCCUUCCAGGGUGAUGCCAAUGGAAGGGAAAUCAACAGUGUCUACACCAAAUUGUGUUAUUAUUGCGUGCCUCAGCAGCUAACAGGUUCUAUUUGAGCAGGACUGAUAAGCUAUCCUCAGAUUUUUGGUGGGAUCAAAAUUUAUCAUUAAGACUUCUUUGUUGACCAGUAUGUUAGAAUAACUCUUUUAAUUAAUCUGAACUUUAAUAAUUUGAAAUUUCCAUUCUUCCUUAACAGAAUACAAGUGCUCCUGCCCAACAAGCAGCCCCCAGGGCCUGGGCAGUUAAGGGAUAGCCCUGCAGGCUGCCCAUAAGGACAGAGCUCCCACUCAGCCCUGACCAGGAAUAGCAGGGACAGGAACCAUGGCCAUCUUCAAUGACUGCCCUGUGCUUUGAAAAAUCACCUUUCAGAAGAAUGCACCAUGGCGAGCACAGUCACUGAGAGCAUUUCUUAGCCCUGACCAGUGAGAGUCGGCAUAUCCUAUCCAAAUCUAUUUUCCAAAAUGGCACUAGUUUCUUAAUAUGCUACAACAGAGGCCACCGAACUGUAGCCUACAAGCCAAAUCCCAAUGCAUACUUUGUACCAUAAACUAUGAAUGGUCCUGAUGUUAAAAAGUAAUGGUUUGAAAAUAUCAAAAGAAGAAAAUUUCAUGAUACAUGAAAAUUAUGAAAUCCAGAUUUUGGUCCAUAGCUACAGUUUUAUAGACCCACAGUGACACUUAUUUACAUACUGUCUGAGGACUUUGGACUGCACGGGCAGAGGGCUCCAGCCGGGUAACUGAGUCAGCUUGCACACCAGCUGAGCCCUCUGAGGCUGUCCCAUCUAAACCUGGCUAAGGAUGCCUCAUGUGACAGGCUGAGGUCCAGGCCCAUUCCAGCAGGGUGACUAAUUACGGGUCCCUUUGUGUCACUAUCUGAGAAAAUAUUGCCAAGUGUGGCCACCGACACCUCUGUGGAGGGAUCUCCACUGGCUGGGGAGGCGGUGAGAGUGCCUACCAUUUUUCAAAAUUGUUUUUAAGACAUUUUUCUUAUGACCAGAUGACUUCAUUAUGACUGGAUGAGUAGCACAUCAGAAGGAAACCCAUACGUUAGAGUCGCAGAUACAGCAAGCUAAAGCAAAGAGGAGUCUUGCCACAGGCCCGGACCUCACCUGCCAACCCAGGGUGAAAGCAGCACGGCCCAGCCUCUGGGGGUCACGGUGUUCCAAGUCAACGGCCUGACAGGGACUCCACCCGAGGGUCAUCUUUAACAGUCAUCUCCCAGACUCUUCUGCAACCUCAGCUGUUUCCUCUCCUCAUUAUAAGCCUGAUCCCUCUUCCGUAGCACGACCCACUGUCACAGGACACACCUUCCUUAGCUGCUCCGUAGUCUGGAGACUGGGCGUGCUACGUUCAACCACAAAACCUCCUACGAGGAUUAUGCCGCAGAUGCUCAGAUGUGUCAUUUGAUAUUUUGCUUGGUUUCGUACCUUUUCAGCACCUGUUUCUAAGCAAAACACUAAAAAUGAGCACAAAGACUAAUCAAGGUAGUGCUUUGGGGCAUAGACCGUUUUUUUCUCAGAAGCGCUUUGUUAAUUAACAGAAGAAUCUACAAAUACUUAGAACUUACUCUAUCUCACAAACAUGUGGCACCAAGUAUCACUCAAGGUUAAAAACAAAAUUAUUUCAAAAUACUUCGCUAAGAUGUGGCACAUAAUAUGUAGGAAGAAAGGCUGAAGAAAUGAAAUUAGCCCAUAAUUACUUAGAGCUGAAGAGUCAAGUACUAAAGAAACCUAGCAGAAUAAUGAUGUUCUGAUUGCAGAGUGACUUACUGCUUGAGGCCCUCAAGAGUAAACACUAAACUCUGCAUCUUUAUUUUUGGCUCAAAAAAUGAGGACAAACAGCAUUUCCUUUUGUUAUUUCUGAACCAAUUCCAAUUUGGAACAUGUUACAAGCACCACCAAGGAAAGAGGCCUAAUAUCUAAAGCAGAACAAUAGAAGUUAAAAAUGCACCUGGGAAAUAACAAGGUAAUGUUUAGCCUGGGUAAUUCGAGUUAAUGGAUCUAUAGACCAGCAAUCUGGAUCGCAGUCAGCCAGCAGGGACUGCGGUGGAACCCAGAGCCCUGGUGUUAGAAACGACUGUUAGAUGACAAAAAGAUACGGUUUGCAAUCGGCAGUAGACAAAUCCAGUGUGGCUGACGUUCAGUGCACCUCCAUGACACCGGGUGUGAUAAAAUUUGAAGGGAUGCAGGAGAGCGACUGUCGGGGGAAGAGAAGAAUUUGUUGAGAAGAUAUUUUCAGCCAACCAGAGUGUGCAGGGCACUGCAGCCCCACUGUGAUAGGAAAAAGCCGGCUACAUCGUAGGGGAUGUCUGAUCAAGAGCAUGGUGUUAGGGAAUCACCGUGUGAUUCCAUGCACAUGACAUAGGCACAGAAAAGAAGCAGCUUCCAUGGGAGGCCUGCACUGGAUACUGGAAAGAUGUGAACAGGAAGGGAGAAAAACAAGUUGAUUCAAAGACAGACGGACAGAACCAGAGUUUGAAAUUCAGAAGUGGUACCACUGAACACGUAGGUGUCACGCUAAGUGGUUGUCGCAUUCUGCCUUACUUCCAAUAUGUAGCAGCUUGUUCCCGUUCCCUUUAAUAUCAGUAGGACCAUAGAGCAAGACAGAUGGCACUAAUAGCCCUCAAUGCCAACAUUCAAAAUUCCCUGCCCAACUGUAACAAUAAUGUCCUUUCAAAUUUUAAUAACACCUGUCACCCAGGGGACUCAUGACCCUCCUCGAAUUUCAUUUUGUGCAGUUUUUCCCGUAGGUUGGUUGUCUGUUUUGUUAUUCUCUGCCAAGGAAGAAUCAUUUUGGGUGUGCAAACGGGCUGUUAUUAGGAUUCAACAUUGGUUGACACAAUUUUAAAAGUCUUGUAUAGUAUUUGAACUCACAAUUCCCUACACAUGGGAUUAUAGUGUAUUUUAUUACCAUAUUAAUAUUUACCAGUCUGUAUCUUGGCAAUUAAUGUAUUCAUAGAAGGCAAAAUCUAAAGGUGCUGGGCUGGGGAUGUGGCUCAAGCGGUAGCACACUUGCCUGGCAUGCGUGCGGCCCAGGUUCGAUCCUCAGCACCACAU